AUGAGAGGAAUUCAACAUAGAAUUGACUUAAUUCCGGGAGCAAGUCUUCCUAAUCUUCCACACUAUCGAAUGAGCCCAAAGGAGCAUGAUAUGUUGAAGGAGAAAGUGGAGGAAUUGUUGCAAAAGGGGCACAUUCGAGAAAGUAUUAGCCCAUGUGUUGUACCAGCCCUACUCGCGCCAAAGAAAGAUGGAUCUUGGCGCAUGUGUACGGACAGUAGAGCCGUUAACAAGAUCACCGUAAGGUAUAGAUUCCCUAUUCCCCGUCUGGAUGAUAUGUUGGAUCAGCUUAGUGGAGCAAGAGUGCUCACAAAGCUAGAUUUAAGAAGUGGAUAUCAUCAAAUCCGUAUAAGACCCGGGGAUGAAUGGAAGACCGCCUUCAAGACAAAGGAAGGGUUGUUUGAAUGGCUAGUCAUGCCAUUUGGACUCUCAAAUGCACCAAGUACCUUUAUGCACUUAAUGAAUCAAGUCCUUAGACCCUUCUUAUCCCACUUUGUUGUGGUCUAUUUCGAUGACAUCUUGAUCUAUAGCAAGGAUGAGGAUGAACACUUUGAUCACAUUCAGAAGGUGCUAGAAGUACUAAGGAAAAAUGAGCUCUACGUCAACUUGAAGAAAUGUGUUUUCCUGCAAACACAACUUCUUUUCCUAGGAUUCGUCAUAACAUGUGACGGCAUUCGUGUUGAUGAUUCUAAGGUUGAAGCAAUCCGAGAAUGGCCAACUCCUAAGACCAUUUCUGAGGUAAGAAGCUUUCAUGGCCUUGCAACUUUCUAUAGGCGAUUUGUUAAGAAUUUCAGCACUAUCAUGGCACCAAUUACGUGUUUGAAGAAAGGAAAGUUCCAAUGGGCAGAAGCAGCUGAAGCUAGCUUCAAUGAGAUUAAACAAAAGCUAUCACAAGCUCCUGUCUUGGUACUACCUGAUUUCAACAAGACUUUUGAGUUGGAGUGUGAUGCAAGUGGAGUAGGCAUUGGAGCUGUCCUAUCUCAAGAAAGGAAGCCCAUUGCUUUCUUUAGUGAGAAGUUAAGUGAAGCUAGACAGAAAUGGAGUACCUAUCAGCAAGAAUUAUACGCCGUUUUCAGAGCGUUGAAAACUUGGAAAGUCUAUUUGCUGCCUAAAGAGUUCAUUGUUUAUAGCGACCAUCAAUCCUUGAAGCAUUUUAGAAAUCAAAGGCAUGUUGACCGCAUGCUAGCAAGAUGGGCAGCAUAUCUGGAGAGAUUUAACUAUCUCAUCAUGCAUAAAUCUGGAAUAACUAACAGAGUGGCCGAUGCUUUGAGUCGUCGUGCAUGCCUCUUGACUUCUUUUGGAGCUGAACUUCCGGGCAUGGAUCAAAUAAAGGAGUUGUAUGAGGGUGACGAAGACUUUGGCCAUGUUUGGGUAAAGCACGCAAGGGGCCAACCAUUAGGUGAUGACUAUUUGAUGCAAGAUGGAUAUCUCUUCAAAAAUGAUCGUUUGUGCAUUCCAAGAAGUUCUCUACGUGACAAGCUGGUUAGAGAGCUCCAUUCAAGUGAUCUUAGUGGCCAUGUUGGACGGGACAAGACUAUUGCUAACCUGGAAGCUCGCUACUUUUGGCCACAACUAAAGAGAGAUGCUGGAAAGUUCGUUCAACGGUGCCCCGUAUGUCAGACCUGCAAAGGCCAAGUCCAGAACACAGGGUUAUACAUGCCUUUGCCUGUUCCUGUCGCUCCAUGGGAGGACAUUUCUAUGGACUUCGUCUUGGGCUUGCCAAGAACAAGACGAGGAAGUGAUGUUGUAUUUGUGGUCGUGGAUAGAUUCUCUAAGAUGGCUCAUUUCAUCCCAUGCCGCAAAACAACGGAUGCUCAUCAUGUGGCAAACCUAUUCUUUCGAGAAGUGGUCAGACUUCAUGGAGUACCAAGGUCCAUCGUCUCAGACCGUGAUAGCAAGUUUCUUGCUGCAUUUUGGCUCACUUUGUGGAAGCAAUUCAACACUGAAUUGAAAUUUUCUAGCACUGCUCAUCCACAAACAGAUGGACAAACGGAAGUGGUGAACAAGUUUUUGGGUAAUCUGAUCCGUUGCAUUUGUGGAGAAAGAAAGGGACAAUGGGAUUUGGCUUUAUCUCUUGCAGAAUUCUCCUACAAUAACUCCAAGCAUAGAUCCACAGGAAGGAGCCCUUUUUCCAUUGUCUACACUAAAGUUCCAUCACAUGUGGUGGACCUGGUGAAGCUACCACCAAGGGGAAACUCAAAAUCAGCAUUGUCCUUUGCUGAUAAUUACACCAAGUUAUUUGAAGAGAUUCGUGGUGCUUUGGAAGCACAAAAUCAGAAAUAUAAAUAA
RNAcentral lists this ribosomal RNA (2286 nucleotides) under Triticum aestivum (bread wheat). RNAcentral describes it as "partial small subunit ribosomal RNA". Lineage: Eukaryota; Viridiplantae; Streptophyta; Magnoliopsida; Poales; Poaceae. The record is from RNAcentral.